Molecule: long non-coding RNA, 679 nt
Filed under: Heterocephalus glaber (naked mole-rat)
Lineage: Eukaryota; Metazoa; Chordata; Mammalia; Rodentia; Bathyergidae
Description: lncRNA (ENSHGLG00000044846.1)
Source: RNAcentral
AAAUUGAGCUGUGGUGAAGCCUCCCUUAUGUGGCCUGCAUGAAUUUGUGCAAGGUUGUCAUGACACCAGCCUGCAACAGUCUGUGUUCCUAUUGGUAUUUAAUAAUGAGUUUGGGACUUGGAUUGAAUUCUGACAAGCAAUCAAGAUCAUGUCUCCAUGACCAACGCAGACACACCCAGAAUUGUGCUCCAACAAUGCCCUGGCCUACUCCCGAGAAAAUCACACUGACACAACGAAACUUAACCAUCAUUUUCCAUUACUUGCCAACUUGACACUCAAACACAGUCCUUAAACCAUGCUUAAUCCUUUAAAAAACACAAAGUCAUUAUUCUGCCUAAUACAACUAUCUUACAUACAAUGAAAAAUGCAAUAAUUCCUUCCUUCAAACCUCAACAGUUUUAACAUUCUUCAAAAGUCCAAGUCCAAGUCUCAUCUGAGAUUCCAUGGAAACACUUAGCUGUUAGCUUCUGAAAAAAAAAAUCUAAACCAUGUUAUAUAUUCCAAAGUACAAUGGCACAGGGUAAACAUUCCCAUUGCAAAAGGGAGAAAUAGGAGGAUAGAAAAGAAUUGUACCAAACCAAGACUGAAACCCAGCAGGGAAAAUAUUGAGUUCUAUUGUUCCAUAUUCAGUAUCCAGGGGCAAUGAUAGAGGGAUGUGAUUUCCAAAGGCCUUGGGCAG